This 460-nucleotide ribosomal RNA is filed under the name uncultured bacterium. RNAcentral describes it as "partial 16S ribosomal RNA". It matches the Rfam family "Bacterial small subunit ribosomal RNA", at positions 338 to 795 of the family's 1533-position model. The record is from RNAcentral.
CCUACGGGAGGCAGCAGUGAGGAAUAUUGGUCAAUGGACGAGAGUCUGAACCAGCCAAGUAGCGUGAAGGAUGACUGCCCUAUGGGUUGUAAACUUCUUUUAUAUGGGAAUAAAAUGUUCCACGUGUGGGAUUUUGUAUGUACCAUAUGAAUAAGGAUUGGCUAACUCCGGGCCAGCAGCCGCGGUAAUAAGGAGGAUUCGAUCGUUAUCCGGAUUUUUUUGGUUUAAAGGGAGAGUAGGUGGAUUGUUAAGUCAGUUGUGAAAGUUUGCGGCUCAAACGUAAAAUUGCAGUUGAAACUGGGAGUCGUGAGUACAGUAGAGGUGGGCGGAAUUCGUGGUGUAGCGGUGAAAUGCAUAGAUAGCACGAAGAACUCCGAUUGCGAAGGCAGCUCAGUGGACUGCAACUGACACUGAGGCUCGAAAGUGUGGGUAUCAAACAGGAUUAGAUACCCUUGUAGUC